ACGCUCGACACCUACGGAAGGCAGCAGUCGGGAAUAUUGCGCAAUGGAGGAAACUCUGACGCAGUGACGCCGCGUAUAGGAAGAAGGUUUUCGGAUUGUAAACUAUUGUCGUUAGGGAAGAUACAAGACAGUACCUAAGGAGGAAGCACCGGCUAACUAUGUGCAGCAGCCGCGGUAAUCUGAGCGGGCUGGCAAGGC
RNAcentral lists this ribosomal RNA (198 nucleotides) under uncultured bacterium. Its description in RNAcentral is "partial 16S ribosomal RNA". It matches the Rfam family "Bacterial small subunit ribosomal RNA", at positions 326 to 539 of the family's 1533-position model. The record is from RNAcentral.